This 253-nucleotide ribosomal RNA is filed under the name uncultured bacterium. RNAcentral describes it as "partial 16S ribosomal RNA". It matches the Rfam family "Bacterial small subunit ribosomal RNA", at positions 524 to 776 of the family's 1533-position model. The record is from RNAcentral.
UACGUAGGGACCGAGCGUUGUCCGGAAUCAUUGGGCGUAAAGAGCGUGUAGGCGGCCCCUUAAGUCCUGCGUGAAAUCCUGCGGCUCAACCGCAGACGGUCGUGGGAAACUGGAGGGCUAGAGUGCGGGAGAGGAGAGUGGAAUUCCCGGUGUAGCGGUGAAAUGCGCAGAUAUCGGGAGGAACACCAAUGACGAAGGCAGCUCGCUGGAACGUUACUGACGCUGAGACGCGAAAGCAUGGGAAGCAAACAGG